AAUCCAUAGGUUAAUGAGGCGAACCGGGGGAACUGAAACAUCUAAGUACCCCGAGGAAAAGAAAUCAACCGAGAUUCCCCCAGUAGCGGCGAGCGAACGGGGAGGAGCCCAGAGCCUGAAUCAGCAUGUGUGUUAGUGGAAGCGUCUGGAAAGGCGCGCGAUACAGGGUGACAGCCCCGUACACAAAAGCGCAUGUGCUGUGAGCUCGAUGAGUAGGGCGGGACACGUGGUAUCCUGUCUGAAUAUGGGGGGACCAUCCUCCAAGGCUAAAUACUCCUGACUGACCGAUAGUGAACCAGUACCGUGAGGGAAAGGCGAAAAGAACCCCGGCGAGGGGAGUGAAAAAGAACCUGAAACCGUGUACGUACAAGCAGUGGGAGCACCCUUUGGGGUGUGACUGCGUACCUUUUGUAUAAUGGGUCAGCGACUUAUAUUCUGUAGCAAGGUUAACCGAAUAGGGGAGCCGGAGGGAAACCGAGUCUUAAUUGGGCGUUAAGUUGCAGGGUAUAGACCCGAAACCCGGUGAUCUAGCCAUGGGCAGGUUGAAGGUUGGGUAACACUAACUGGAGGACCGAACCGACUAAUGUUGAAAAAUUAGCGGAUGACCUGUGGCUGGGGGUGAAAGGCCAAUCAAACCGGGAGAUAGCUGGUUCUCCC
Molecule: ribosomal RNA, 657 nt
Filed under: Salmonella enterica subsp. enterica serovar Havana
Lineage: Bacteria; Pseudomonadati; Pseudomonadota; Gammaproteobacteria; Enterobacterales; Enterobacteriaceae
Description: partial 23S ribosomal RNA
Rfam family: Bacterial large subunit ribosomal RNA
Source: RNAcentral